UAAUCUGUCAGGAGUAAAUCCUCAUAUAGUUAUGACAGACCCACACCUAACUGUUCAGAAUCACCCGUGAAAACUACUGUGUGAACAAUAAUUUUUUAAAGU
Non-coding RNA from Populus trichocarpa (black cottonwood), 102 nucleotides. NCBI's taxonomy places the organism in Eukaryota, Viridiplantae, Streptophyta, Magnoliopsida, Malpighiales, Salicaceae. The record is from Rfam.